RNAcentral lists this ribosomal RNA (498 nucleotides) under uncultured bacterium. RNAcentral describes it as "partial 16S ribosomal RNA". It matches the Rfam family "Bacterial small subunit ribosomal RNA", at positions 28 to 507 of the family's 1533-position model. The record is from RNAcentral.
GACGAACGCUGGCGGCGUGCCUAAUACAUGCAAGUCGAACGAGAGCGACCGGUGCUUGCACUGGUCAAUCUAGUGGCGAACGGGUGAGUAACACGUGGGUAACCUGCCCAUCAGAGGGGGAUAACAUCCGGAAACGGAUGCUAAAACCGCAUAGGUCUUCGAACCGCAUGGUUUGAAAAGGAAAAGAGGCGCAAGCUUCUGCUGAUGGAUGGACCCGCGGUGCAUUAGCUAGUUGGUGAGGUAACGGCUCACCAAGGCCGUGAUGCAUAGCCGACCUGAGAGGGUGAUCGGCCACAUUGGGACUGAGACACGGCCCAAACUCCUACGGGAGGCAGCAGUAGGGAAUCUUCCGCAAUGGACGCAAGUCUGACGGAGCAACGCCGCGUGAGUGAAGAAGGUUUUCGGAUCGUAAAACUCUGUUGUUAGAGAAGAACAAGUGCUAGAGUAACUGUUAGCGCCUUGACGGUAUCUAACCAGAAAGCCACGGCUAACUACGUG